ACCUGGUUGAUCCUGCCAGUAGUCAUAUGCUUGUCUCAAAGAUUAAGCCAUGCAUGUCUAAGUACACGCCCUAGCAAGGCGAAACCGCGAAGGCUCAUUAAAUCAGUUAUGGUUCCUUAGAUCGUACACAUUUACUUGGAUAACUGUGGUAAUUCUAGAGCUAAUACAUGCAAUUGAGCCCUCGUCCCUUUUAGGGUGAGGGUGCUUUUAUUAGACCAAGACCAAACGGGGGCAACUCCGAUAGUCGUGGUGACUCUGAAUAACUAUGGCGGAUCGCACAGUCCUAGCACUGGCGACGCAUCUUUCAAGUGUCUGCCUUAUCAACUUUCGAUGGUAGGUUAUGCGCCUACCAUGGUUGUUACGGGUAACGGGGAAUCAGGGUUCGAUUCCGGAGAGGGAGCCUGAGAAACGGCUACCACAUCCAAGGAAGGCAGCAGGCGCGCAAAUUACCCACUCCCGGCACGGGGAGGUAGUGACGAAAAAUAACAAUACGGGACUCUAACGAGGCUCCGUAAUUGGAAUGAGUACACUCUAAACCUUUUAACGAGGAUCUAUUGGAGGGCAAGUCUAGUGCCAGCAGCCGCGGUAACUCUAGCUCUCUCUCUCUCUCUCAGGUCAUGAAAAUUCAGGAGGAUAUACGUUUGCUAUCAAAAGUAUAUAGGAAAACAUUAGUUAUAUGAAAGGACCCGUUUAAUCUAUAGAUCGUAUUAAGUAAGCAUAAAGCUUGGAAUUGAAAAGAGACAUCACUAUCAAAGUAACAUGGAAGCGAGACUUUAGGAUGUUAAUUGGGGAAAUUCUAUGAAGGAUUAGGAACGUUCGAAUUGCUUGAAUUAAAUUAUUCUUAUGCGAACUCUCUCUCUCUCUCUACCAGUUCGAUAUUAAUUGCAUGUGACGUGGACUAAGGCUUUGUACGUGUAUUGCUAUGCCUAGAACUUCAUUACUUUUCCAGAAAUCCUAUAGUGACAUAUACAUAGACACACAAACCCAUGACAUCAGUAUAUUGCGUUACUACGUCAGCUUCAGGUGUUAUUUGACCAUUUCGUAUGCAAGAACCAUUGCCCCAACCCACCAGAAUCCUAACCCAGGGGUCGGCAAACUGCGACUCGCGAGCCACAUACGGCUCUUUGGAUGUGAAGCUGCGGCUCUUUAUAUAUUUCUAUACGUGAAUACUUAUUCAUGCGAGAAUAUACUAUUUAUUGUUUGUAAUAAAAACAUUUUGUGGCUUUUUAAAAUAAAUUGAUAUUUUGUAAAUUGAAAUUUUUGACUCUUCCGACUUGAAAGAUUGCCGAACUCUGUCCUAACCUAGGCGGCCAGGUAUAGCCGUCUGCAAAAAGAUUUGCUAUCUCCCAAGAAUCGACGUUUUGUUGACCGGAAAUCCGGAACGUGCGACAAUCUGGCUGAAGACAAUGGCAAAUACAAUCGCCGACCUCGGCCUCAAGUCCCAAUGUCAAUAUCUCGUGUGAUACCAGAACCGCUAAGUACGUAUAUUUUCCCUCUUUAAAAUAUAUUUUAUAAUAUAUUCUAGUUUGAUUUAUAUUUACCUAUCAUCCUACUUCGCUUCACAGAGAAAAUAAACAUAUAUACAUAACACUAUAUUAAUAUAAAGCAAUAACGCGCCAUCGAUAUAUUGCAAAUAUAAAACAUUUAGACCUGAAUGUUUCUUUUACACAUAUAUCAAACUAUUACUGUCUUUACUGCGAUGAAUAAUUGACCUUAUCCUUAUUGUUUGAGAAGAUCAUUGCUCGAUGCAAAUAUUAUCUGUAUUUCUACUGUUCUCUAAAAGCUUAUGUCCAUUGUUUGCUUGAAUACCAUUUCUGAGAUUCCACCCUUCAGUGUAGCAUAUAUAAGCAGAAUGAUCCAGUAUUAGAGCUCUAAAGAAGCGGUCUGGUAGAUUAAAUUGGGGAAACUGCUGGGAGGGUUCACCACUGAUGUGCCAAGCCCUCCCAAUAUAUAUACAGGGUGUACCAGGUAAAUUGGGACUAACUUUGACAGUCCAUAAAACAAAACUACUUGAGAUUAAAAACUUGUUUAUUUUUUCAUUACGUAGCCAUAUUCAUGUAAAAUGCAACAGUACAUGUGUGCGCAGUGUAGUGAUGAAGAGUAACCGAGAAUUUGAAAAUCGAGCUGCCAUCAUCGUUGCUCUGCGCGCCGGAAGGAGCCCCAAAGAGAUAGUGGAUUUUCUUAAGUUGCCCAAAACCACUAUUUAUCGUGUCAAGAAGCAGUUUGAUGAGGCCGACAGUAACAAAGAGGGGAUAGCUACAAGGAAAAAGCACUCGCGUCGAUCGGACAGGGUAAGA
This 2297-nucleotide ribosomal RNA is filed under the name Cordylochernes scorpioides. RNAcentral describes it as "5.8S ribosomal RNA". The stretch from base 3 to 612 matches the Rfam family "Eukaryotic small subunit ribosomal RNA", at positions 4 to 605 of the family's 1831-position model. The record is from RNAcentral. Lineage: Eukaryota; Metazoa; Arthropoda; Arachnida; Pseudoscorpiones; Chernetidae.